GCCCCCAACAACGCCCCAACAAAAUUCCCUACCACUGAUAAAUGGUUAGACGGGUUGGCCACCUUUGAUAAGCGGCGUUGCCCUCCUGACAUCCAUUGCCCAUAAAUCUUGAUCUCAAGACAAAAUAUGGGCGUCAUUAACACAUACCAUAAUGAAUGUGGUAGUGUUGUAGCAAUAUCUUCUGGAACCCCAAUGGCCAAGAAGAGCAAGGCAAUCCACGGGGCAAAAAAGAAAUUAACCCUGAUCGGGUGGUAGUAUUCUCUUCGAACCGCUUCAAAGUAAAAGAUGACUUUUAAAAGGUAAGCUGAGGCAACAACGGCGAAAAGAAGGAUGGAUAUGCACCAUAAUGCAUAGUUCACUCUACGGCUUAUAUGAAGGAAAUGUGUGGAAGUGGACAAGGCUAAAUUCUUCCACAGUACCGUUUGGCUACCAACACCGAGACACAUACCAAAUGCUGAGAUCGGAAAACGAAGAAGAAAUGGCCACUUUCUAUCUUCAGGAAGCACUAUUACUUCGGAAGCCUGUAAAAAAAGAAGAGCCAAAAUAGUGAGACAAAAUGUUAGAAGGGAAGUAAAAGUCAUACAAAAGACAUUCGGAUUACUGGAUUAGGGAUGAUCAAAAUAAGUGAGAUACGGCUACACUCUUAUGGGGAGUGUUUAUCUCAGUUGGAUCGACACGUGGGAGCGACUUUCCACGUAAUGUAGAAAGUUGUCUCUCAAGCCCACCUGACCAUGUCUUGAACGAGUUAUAUCUGUUGUCCUUCAACUCAUGUAUCCUUGGAAUCUUCACUGGGAGUAUGAGACCGUCUGGUGUUUUUACUCUCCUUGUAUCAACUAAUGUGGUGUCGCCUUUUCCCGGGCUAUCGUUUCCAACUAAUGUGGCUUUGUCCUUGAAUGUAACUCUUUUGGCAUCCAAAGAAGAAGGUGGCAUGCUAAUCGAAACAGAUGGUGUAGCUGUUGUUUGUUCCGGCGAUAGAUCAAGUGGGCUUUCAAACUGAUCAUUUCCACUGAACUCCUGGCAAAAUCAAAACACAAUUUCAAAAAACCACAAAGACCAAGCAUCUUGGGGCCAUCAUAUCUUGCUUGAUAACAAUAACCUGAUUGGAAUCUGCAUAGCUGAUCGGUGAUGAAAUUAUUUCAGGGGACUCCUUCUUGUUUUCCAUCUCAAUUUACAGUUGGUUUCUUGCUGUGCAUAUUAAACAAAAAAAAAAAAUUCACUUUCACAAUAGGUGAAUUGUCUAUUAGUAAAAUCAAUGAAAUGGGACUUUUUAUGAUA
Molecule: long non-coding RNA, 1275 nt
Organism: Erigeron canadensis
Lineage: Eukaryota; Viridiplantae; Streptophyta; Magnoliopsida; Asterales; Asteraceae
Exons: 2
Source: RefSeq, a predicted model, not a curated record